Molecule: ribosomal RNA, 497 nt
Filed under: uncultured bacterium
Lineage: Bacteria
Description: partial 16S ribosomal RNA
Rfam family: Bacterial small subunit ribosomal RNA
Source: RNAcentral
GACGAACGCUAGCGGCGUGCCUAAUACAUGCAAGUUGAGCGCUGAAGGUUGGUACUUGUACCAACUGGAUGAGCAGCGAACGGGUGAGUAACGCGUGGGGAAUCUGCCUUUGAGCGGGGGACAACAUUUGGAAACGAAUGCUAAUACCGCAUAAAAACUUUAAACACAAGUUUUAAGUUUGAAAGAUGCAAUUGCAUCACUCAAAGAUGAUCCCGCGUUGUAUUAGCUAGUUGGUGAGGUAAAGGCUCACCAAGGCGAUGAUACAUAGCCGACCUGAGAGGGUGAUCGGCCACAUUGGGACUGAGACACGGCCCAAACUCCUACGGGAGGCAGCAGUAGGGGAUCUUCGGCAAUGGACGAAAGUCUGACCGAGCAACGCCGCGUGAGUGAAGAAGGUUUUCGGAUCGUAAAACUCUGUUGGUAGAGAAGAACGUUGGUGAGAGUGGAAAGCUCAUCAAGUGACGGUAACUACCCAGAAAGGGACGGCUAACUACGUG